AAACAACAGACAUUUAUUUCUCAUGCUUCCGGAGGCUGGGAAAUCCAAGAUCAAGGCACUGGCGAUUCAGUUCCUAGUUGAAAGUCUCUUUAGCUUGCACAUGGCCACCUUCUUGCUGUGUCCUCACAUGGUGGAGAGAGGGAGCGCUGGUAUUUCUUCUUCUUUAUACGCUUAUUAAUCCCAUCAUGAGGGCUACAUCCUCAGGACUUCAUCUGAACCUAAUCGCCUCCCAAAGACCCCACUUCCAAUACCAUGAAAACGAGGGUUAAGGCUUCAGCAUGUAAUUGGUGUGGGGGGCACAAACAUUAGGUCUAUAACACAGUAAAGAGUCUGACUCCUUUUUUAACUUUUGAAUGCUGACAGCUUUUUUAAAAAAAAGUUUAUAUAUUUAUUUUGAGAGAGAGAGAGCAUGAGCAGGGGAGAGGCAGAGAGAGAGAGAGAGAAUCCCAAGCAGGCUCUGCACUGCCAGUACAGAGCCCGACAUGGGGCUCCUCUCAUGAAGAGUGAGAUCAUGAUCCGAGCUAAAAUCAAGAGAUGGAAUGCUUAACCACUGAGCCACCCAGGUGUCCCUGAAUGCCGACAGCUUUUAAGCCCCACCACUCCCUCUUUCCUUAUUUUAGACUUGGGCCAGCUCAUAAGAAAGCCUAAGUGCCCCAUCCAUUCGUCUCAGCACGAAGUUCAAACUAUGCAAGCCUUGGUCCAUGCAUGGGAACACUUAUCCCUAGUCCCACUCUCCAAUGAUUUCCCAGCCAGUCUCCUUUUUCUGCUCUCUUAAGCCAUUUUUAGACCUGCUUGGAAAGUUUCCAGGCUGCCUCUAGAAAUCCUCAUAUGUGUAUAAUAAGUCUCAUAUCUUCUUGGUAUGUGCUUUAUGUCAUCAGUCUUGACAUUUCAACCAAAUUUUGGUUGGAGGUAUUCAUUCCACCAUCACAACUACGAUAAUUUUUCUCUUGGAGUUAUGAGACAAGAAUGUAAAAAUAACUAUGAUAAAUAGAAUAUAAAGAGAAUAUUUAGAAAAAAAGAUGGGCAUUUGAAUGAUGCAGGACUGAUGCAGAGAAUUGGAAUCUAUAAAAAUUCAAAUAGGCAUUCAAGAACUAAAAAACCUUAGUAUUUGAAAUUAAGGAUUCAUUGAAUGGAUUUAGCUGCAGAUGACAGGAUUAGUGAGCUCAAAGACAUGUGUAUAGAUGUACUCAAACUGAAGUACAGACAGAGAAAAUAAUGAAGAUAAUAGAUCAGAGUAUAAGAUACAUAUUGGGACACAGUCAUAAUAUCGAUCAUGCAUCUAAUUGGAUUCUCAGAAAAAGGGAGGGAGAGAGAAUAAGAAAAGCAUAUUCGAAGAGAUAAAGGGCAAGAGUUGUCAGAAUCAGAGAAACACAUCAACUCAUAGAUGCACAAAGCUCAGUGAAUCCCAAGUUAAAGAAAAACAAAGACAACUACACAGAGGUGCAAACCAAAGACAAUGAGAAAAUGUUAAAAGCAGCCAGGAAAAAUCAAAACACAUCAUAUUCCAAGGAGCAACAAUGAGUUAUGGCUGACAUGUUGAUCGCAACUAUGAAAUCUAGACGACAAUGGAAAGGCAUUUUUAACUGUACAAAAAAAGUUCUAUAUCCUGUGAAUUUUUUUUUCACAAAUAAAGACAAUUCAUGGUCCUCUUUCCUUUCCCUUUUCUUCUCUUCCAUUUCUGAACAAUUUAAAGCCAUCAGGUGGGGCAGAACAAGGCGUGGCGUGGAUGCAUUUGUGUGCACGGUGUAGAGAGUGGAGGAAGCCAUGGUGGCCCAGAGCAGGAUGUCAGAGCCCAGACAGGAUGAGAAGGGCAUUCCCAUGGGAGGGAAGCCAGAUGUGGGGUGUCAGAUCCUGAGCAGGGUGAGGAGGGGGGAGGAGGUUUGGGUUUAGUGAGAGAGGGAGUUAUAAAUAUAGAAAAGGAGAAAACUGGAAUGAACCCUGUGAUAUUUAUUUGGAAAAGAAUAUAUCUGAGUGGAUUCAUCUAUAUAUACACAUAUAUUAAUACAUUAUAAUAAUAUAUGCAUAUAUAACAGAUAUAUAAUAGAUACUAUAUGUAUGUAUACAUAUGCAUACAUAUUCUCAAGCUGUGUUCACACAGAGCCAGGAGUGGAUACAUCUCAUUAGCAAGACCUAGAUUUUGUUUUCUAAACAACGGUUUCAAAGAAAGAAGGCAGGGAUCCCCAGAGAAUGGCUGGUUCCAGGACUGGGCAGGGAAAGCACAAGGCGAGUCUGGAGCAUCCUGGGCCAAAAUGCACAGAAGCACUCAAAGAAUAAUGGGGACAUGUCAGAAGGAUACAGAAGCUGUCUUGAAGUGGCUUCCACCGAUCGAAUCGGGGACAUCUGAAAAUCAAAAUAAAUAGUAAAUUGGAUUAUAAUCCUUUGAAUAA
This 2387-nucleotide long non-coding RNA is filed under the name Lynx pardinus (Iberian lynx). The record is from RNAcentral. Lineage: Eukaryota; Metazoa; Chordata; Mammalia; Carnivora; Felidae.